Molecule: long non-coding RNA, 213 nt
Filed under: Phoenix dactylifera (date palm)
Lineage: Eukaryota; Viridiplantae; Streptophyta; Magnoliopsida; Arecales; Arecaceae
Description: long non-coding RNA (PDAC_LNC014519)
Source: RNAcentral
GGCUAAAGUAAAAGCUUUUUUUUUUUUUUGGUAUAAAAACGGCUACUCAUUCAUAUAAGUCUAACAUGAGUACAACCAGCCAAAUCACGGAAAAGAAAUGACAACAAAGCAAAAGGAGCAUCUGAUGCAGACGUCCACAAAAAAUCCUCGAAGUGCCGAGCAACAAAAGAGGCGAUCCAGUCUGCGGCCCUGUUCGCCUCCCUAAACACGUGA